AUUGAACGCUGGCGGCAUGCCUAACACAUGCAAGUCGAACGGGGGUAGCAAUACUCCAGUGGCGGACGGGUGAGGAAUACAUAGGAAUUUGCCCUUAAGUGGGGGAUAGCCCGGGGAAACCCGGAUUAAUACCGCAUGAACCCGUGAGAGCAAAGUCGGGGACGGCAAGGCUUGGCGCUUUUGGAGAAGCCUAUGUCGGAUUAGCUUGUUGGUGAGGUAAUGGCUCACCAAGGCCGCGAUCCGUAACUGGUCUGAGAGGAUGAUCAGUCACACCGGAACUGAGACACGGUCCGGACUCCUACGGGAGGCAGCAGUGGGGAAUAUUGGACAAUGGGCGAAAGCCUGAUCCAGCAAUGCCGCGUGUGUGAAGAAGGCCUUCGGGUUGUAAAGCACUUUAGGCUGGAAAGAAAAAGCUUUGGCUAAUAUCCAAAGCCUUGACGGUACCAGCAGAAUAAGCACCGGCUAACUCCGUGCCAGCAGCCGCGGUAA
This 489-nucleotide ribosomal RNA is filed under the name uncultured bacterium. RNAcentral's name for it is "partial 16S ribosomal RNA". It matches the Rfam family "Bacterial small subunit ribosomal RNA", at positions 30 to 523 of the family's 1533-position model. The record is from RNAcentral.